UACAGAGGGGGCAAGCGUUGUUCGGAAUUACUGGGCGUAAAGGGCGCGUAGGCGGCCCGCUAAGUCGAACGUGAAAUCCCCGAGCUCAACUCGGGAACUGCGUCUGAUACUGGUGGGCUUGAAUCCGGGAGAGGGAUGCGGAAUUCCAGGUGUAGCGGUGAAAUGCGUAGAUAUCUGGAGGAACACCGGUGGCGAAGGCGGCAUCCUGGACCGGCAUUGACGCUGAGGCGCGAAAGCUAGGGGAGCAAACGGG
RNAcentral lists this ribosomal RNA (253 nucleotides) under uncultured bacterium. RNAcentral's name for it is "partial 16S ribosomal RNA". It matches the Rfam family "Bacterial small subunit ribosomal RNA", at positions 524 to 776 of the family's 1533-position model. The record is from RNAcentral.